UGGCCGCGGUAUUUUGACCGUGCUAAGGUAGCAUAAUCAUUAGUUUUUUAAUUGAAAGCUGGAAUGAAGGGCUGAAUGAAAAAAAAACUGUCUCUAAUUAAUUAUUUUAGAAUUUUAUUUUUAAGUUAAAAAGCUUAAAUUUUAUUAAAAGACGAGAAGACCCUAUAGAGUUUAAUAAUUUUAUACUAUAAAAAAUUUGGAAUUAAUAUUUUUAUUUUUAUAUAAUUAUUUGAUUGGGGUGAUUAAAAAAUUUAAUAAACUUUUUUAUUUAUUUAUAUUGAUUAAUAAAUAAUUGAUCCAAAAAUUUUGAUUAUAAGAUAAAAUUACCUUAGGGAUAACAGCGUAAUUUUAUUUGAGAGUUCUA
This 364-nucleotide ribosomal RNA is filed under the name Galerucella birmanica (water lily leaf beetle). RNAcentral's name for it is "partial 16S ribosomal RNA". The record is from RNAcentral. Lineage: Eukaryota; Metazoa; Arthropoda; Insecta; Coleoptera; Chrysomelidae.